UAGCGGGGUGGAGCAGUCUGGUUAGCUCGUCAGGCCCAUAACCUGAAGGUCGCGUGGUUCAAAUCCCGCCCCCGCUAU
Molecule: transfer RNA, 78 nt
Filed under: uncultured archaeon
Lineage: Archaea
Description: tRNA-Met(cat)
Rfam family: tRNA
About the family: Transfer RNA (tRNA) molecules are approximately 80 nucleotides in length.
Source: RNAcentral